This is a non-coding RNA of Acanthosepion pharaonis, 96 nucleotides long. NCBI's taxonomy places the organism in Eukaryota, Metazoa, Mollusca, Cephalopoda, Sepiida, Sepiidae. The record is from the annotation of a GenBank genome assembly.
AUCGCGUCGGUUCCCGUACGAUCACCAAAGUUAAGCAACGUCGUGCCUGGUCAAUAUCUAGAUGGGUGACCGCCUGGGAAUAUACGAUGCUGUCAG